This 282-nucleotide signal recognition particle RNA is filed under the name Phascolarctos cinereus (koala). RNAcentral describes it as "Metazoan signal recognition particle RNA (ENSPCIG00000006064.2)". It matches the Rfam family "Metazoan signal recognition particle RNA". From Rfam's summary of the family: The signal recognition particle (SRP) is a universally conserved ribonucleoprotein. It is involved in the co-translational targeting of proteins to membranes. The eukaryotic SRP consists of a 300-nucleotide 7S RNA and six proteins: SRPs 72, 68, 54, 19, 14, and 9. Lineage: Eukaryota; Metazoa; Chordata; Mammalia; Diprotodontia; Phascolarctidae. The record is from RNAcentral.
GCUGGGCAUGGUGGUGCAAGCCUGUGAUCUGUGCUACUGAGCAAGCUGAUGGUUUGAGCUCAGUUUUAAGCUACAGUAGGGCCAAAGUCUAACAGAUGUCCUCACUAAGUCUGGCACCAGUGUGGUGAUCCUCUGGGAGUGGGAGGGGCACUAGGCUGCCUAAGGAGGGGCCAAUCAGCCCACUUUGGAAACUGAACAGGUCAAAGCGUUCAUGCUGAUGAGUCGUGGGAUUGGGUCAAUGAGUAGCUAUUGCAUUUUCAGCCCGAGUGAGGUAGACAGACC